Xyrichtys novacula (pearly razorfish) is the source of this 1120-nucleotide non-coding RNA. The record is from the annotation of a GenBank genome assembly. NCBI's taxonomy places the organism in Eukaryota, Metazoa, Chordata, Actinopteri, Labriformes, Labridae.
UCUCGUGUGUUCUGGUCGUCCUCUUCAUUUGUCUGUUUUAUCUUCUCCUUCCGUCUCCUCGUGGUUCGUGUCUGCCGUUGUUUCCUCCUCAUUCUCUGUCAGAUCAGGGUCAUCAGUAAACAGAAUAUAGAAUCAGAUUUCUUCAUCAUAGUAGACGUUACAAAAGUUAAUCAUAAAUAGGGAACUGACCCUUGAAACAUAAAUCAUGCUAAAGGGUAACUUACUGAGGGAAACAGGCUCACUUGUAUAGUUUUUGUCAUAAAGUACAAUAGAUCUUACUCAGAAGUUAAAAUUGAUUACAUUUCUCCUAUCUGGAUAAUUGCAUUUUAUGCCUGUAUGCAAUUAUUUGUAUAUAUGGUAAAUACAGAAUACAAAACAAUGACAAAGCGUCAUAUUCUCGAGUAAAUCCAUGGAAAUGCAAAGACACAGGAAUAGUCACUUAACUUUAUGGUAGUUAAGCAUUUACAGUAAAUUAACCUGUCAAAUGUUGCGACAUUUUUAUCAAGUAGUCAAAUCUUAAAUGAUAAUUACAUUGAUGAAUCUCUACAUGAAUAACUGAAUACACAAAUUACAGCGGCCUUUCCUGUUUACUUAUGAUUUUAUUUAUGCUUUAUGUUUGUUUACAGUUCAGCUCUCAGUUGCACCAACACGAUAAAUACAGGUAACUAUAUACCUUAGGUUGAAUACUCAAUCUAUGUAUAUAUAGAUCUACAUAUCUACAUAUAUGACGCUGGAAAAGGGCAGGGCUAACGGUUCGGCUAACUCAAUCCUCAAACUAUCAUGUACCAUCAUGACUGAUCUGUCUAAUGUUCACAUAAUUUUGAAGACAUAGAGGAUUUAAAAGACAUGUUUGUUUACCUGUUUCACGUGGUUGUUCAGACACUUGAGAUCCAGGGACUGCAGAAAUGUCUUUCUUUGUCAGAGAAAAAAAACGUCUGAUGUCGUCCAUUUUUCCGUUCAUGUGACGACUCGAAACCCGCUCGGAACACAAUCAGAGUUCAGAUUAGAUAGACACCUGUCAGCCAAAAACACACGGAUGAUUUCCCGCCUCCAUACAUCUCCUCUCUGAUUGGUCAUGGUGUCGUGCCUGUUGCAUUUACUGAAACUGGGAAAUUACAAA